This 473-nucleotide long non-coding RNA is filed under the name Catagonus wagneri (Chacoan peccary). RNAcentral describes it as "lncRNA (ENSCWAG00000016849.1)". Lineage: Eukaryota; Metazoa; Chordata; Mammalia; Artiodactyla; Tayassuidae. The record is from RNAcentral.
GCGUUCUUCAGCCAUGGAGUUACUUUGUUUACCCAUUCAGUGUUCGCUUCUGUUAUUGUCUAGAUUACCGCACAUAUGAAUAACCUGGAUGAGCCCGGUUCACGUGGCUGAAGCUUUUAAAAGCAUGAUGGAGUCGCGUGGUUGGCAAAACCAAACAGUACUAUCGAAAUGCUGCUUCAUGGCCUGACUGCUGCUGGAGGAGGGUGACGUGGACUGAGCCCCUCACUACAACUGACCCAAACCCAGUGGCCGCCCCAGACAGGACCAGCGAGGGGACGCAGCGGGUUCACGGCAGACUCACAGCCAGGAGCGCAGCUCAGGUCCUUCCCGCAGACCCAACCUUCCCCCUGAAACCAGCUUUAAUCAUCCAGGCCAGAGUUUUCUUUCUCCCAAGAACACUCAGAACCACUCGAUUCAUCUGGAUUUCUCCUCUGCCUGUGCAUUGAUUAUUUGUGUGGUUACUUGGUACCCAG